This 424-nucleotide ribosomal RNA is filed under the name Fusobacteriota bacterium. RNAcentral describes it as "Fusobacteria bacterium partial 16S ribosomal RNA". It matches the Rfam family "Bacterial small subunit ribosomal RNA", at positions 355 to 776 of the family's 1533-position model. The record is from RNAcentral. Lineage: Bacteria; Fusobacteriati; Fusobacteriota.
UGAGGAAUAUUGGUCAAUGGGCGAGAGCCUGAACCAGCCAAGUAGCGUGCAGGAUGACGGCCCUAUGGGUUGUAAACUGCUCUUAUGUGGGGAUAAAGUGCGUGACGUGUCAUGCAUUGCAGGUACCACAUGAAUAAGGACCGGCUAAUUCCGUGCCAGCAGCCGCGGUAAUACGGAAGGUCCGGGCGUUAUCCGGAUUUACUGGGUUUAAAGGGAGCGUAGGCUGUCUAUUAAGCGUGUUGUUAAAUUUACCGGCUCAACCGGUGGCUUGCAGCGCGAACUGGUCGACUUGAGUAUGCAGGAAGUAGGCGGAAUUCAUGGUGUAGCGGUGAAAUGCUUAGAUGUCAUGACGAACUACAAUUGCGCAGGCAGCUUGCUGUAGCAUACCUGAAGCUAAUGCUCUAAAGUACGGGUAUCAAACAGG